UAUGCCCUAGGGCUAGUGGAAGACUUAAGAUGGCGGCGUUUGCACGGAGUGCAAUCACUGCGUCCUUACGGGGGUUGCAAGGCGUCCGAAGUAUGAGUCCACUAACAAAAGUCCAGAAACUCGCCAGUUAAUAGUAUUGUGUCUCUUCAAAAUAUCGGAGAAUAAUUUCUUUCUCGCUGAUCGCCUAACUUCUACUGACGAAGCUUGGAAGUUGCAGAAGCCAGACAUGAUGUAUUGAGUAAAAGGAACUUCGGUACACAGGCCUUUAGUGAUGUGGUGGUAAGAUGUAUGGUACUGGCUCCUGUAUCACCCAGCUCUGGAGUUGAAAGAGCUCUUCAUUCCUGAGUCUCCUGUACCACUGAGAAUAGGCUGGAGUGCAGUGGCGCAAUCUCGGCUCUCUGCAACCUUCACCUCCCGUGUUCAAGUGAUUCUCCUGCCUCAGCCUCCUGAAUACCUGAGAUUACAAGCAUGCACCACCACGCCCGUCUAAUUUUGUAUUUUCACUAGAGACGGGGUUUCUCCAUGUUGGUCAGGCUGGUCUCGAACUCCCGACCUCAGGUGAUCCGCCCGCCUCAGCCUCCCAAAGUGCUGGGAUUACAGGCAUGAGCCACCGCGUCCAGCAAGAAUAGGUGAUUUUCAAACUUGGAAACAUUCAGAAGUUAUCGCCUCAGUUUCAGAUUGAGUAGUCUCAAAGAGAUUACAGACAUCUACCACAAAUUCUCUACUUGGUGUGGUGCAAAAUCAGUAUGAUGUAAACUUUGUCUCUCAGUUUCUUCAAAGGAAAGAAGCAACUGGAACACACAUAUAACACUAACCCUUCCAGCUGCAUUAUGAGGGACCAGUACCUGUCUCAAGGCAAAAUUAUGACUUAGUUCAUCCUCACCUCUGGAGGCCAGUAAAAGUGGGUUAUAGAAGAACAAAGAGGCAUCUAGAUCUUUCACUGGGUUAUUUGGAGAGAAACAUCUCCUACCGAAGGCCAGUUUAACAAGACUGGUAGAGGAGGUUAUCUUAUCUAAUUCACAGAAAUCAACACAUUGAGUCAAGAAAAAUGAAACACAGAAACACUCUAAAUAAAAGAAGAUAAGUCUUCAGAAACCAACCCUAAUGAAAUGAAGAUAUGUGAUUAACCUGACAGGAAAUUAAAAAGAGCAACCAUAAAGAGUCUCAUGGGAGCAAUGCAUGAACAAACUGAGAAUUUUCAUAAAGAAAUAAAAGAUAACAAAAAGUAUAAAGUUGAAGAAUACAAUAACUGGACUCAAAAAUUUAAUGUGUCCAACAGAAGAAUCGAUGAAGCAGAAGAAAGGGCUAUCAAACUUGUAGAUAGGCCAUUGGAAAUCAUGUAAUGUGAGGAGAAAAAAGAAAAAAGAUUGAAGAUAGUUUAAGAGACUUUUGAGACAUCCUCAAAGGGGAAUAAUUUAUACAUUACCAGAUGGAGAAGAUAGAGGGAAAAGGACAGAAAACAUAUUUGAAGAAAUAAUGUCAGAAAACCUCAUAAUUCUGGCAAGGAAAUAGAAAUUUAGAUCUAAGAAUCUCGAACAUCAGGUAUGAUGAAUCCAAGGAGACUCACACCAAACCAUAUUGUAAUUAAAUAAAGGUUAAAGACAAUCUUCAGAGCAGCAAGGGAAUAGUCUCUUCUUACAUACAAAAUGAUCCACGGAAGACUGUCAGCAGACUUCACCAGAAAACUUUCACGCCAGAAGGCAGUCGUGAUAUAUACAAAAAGCUGAAAGGAAAACACUGCCAUCCAGGAAUACUAUCUCCAACUAUCCUGUGUUUCAAAAAUUAAGGAGAAAUAUAAAGUUCUCAAACAAAAGAUGUGGGAGUUUACCACCACUAGACCUGCACGGGAAGAAUUGCUAAAGGGAGUCCUUCAAGCUGUAGUAAAAGAGUGCUAAUUAGAAACAUGAAAA
Molecule: long non-coding RNA, 1910 nt
Filed under: Homo sapiens (human)
Lineage: Eukaryota; Metazoa; Chordata; Mammalia; Primates; Hominidae
Description: JPX transcript, XIST activator
Rfam family: JPX transcript, XIST activator conserved region 1 (bases 8-142)
Source: RNAcentral